GACGAACGCUGGCGGCGUGCUUAACACAUGCAAGUCGAACGGGAGUAUUGAAGAAGCUUGCUUUAGAGAUACUUUAGUGGCGGACGGGUGAGUAACGCGUGAGGAGCUGUCCUAUGCAGGGGGACAACAGCUGGAAACGGCUGCUAAUACCCCAUAAGCCGAGAGGUAAAAGGAUCAAUCCGGCAGAGGAGGUACUCGCGUCCUAUCAGCUAGUAGGUGAGGUAACGGCUCACCUAGGCGAAGACGGGUAGCCGGCCUGAGAGGGCGAACGGCCACACUGGAACUGAGAUACGGUCCAG
Molecule: ribosomal RNA, 299 nt
Filed under: uncultured bacterium
Lineage: Bacteria
Description: partial 16S ribosomal RNA
Rfam family: Bacterial small subunit ribosomal RNA
Source: RNAcentral